UAGGGAAUCUUCCGCAAUGGACGAAAGUCUGACGGAGCAACGCCGCGUGAGCGAAGAAGGCCUUCGGGUCGUAAAGCUCUGUUGUAAGGGAAGAACAAGCAUCGGUUAACUGCCGGUGCCCUGACGGUACCUUACCAGAAAGCCCCGGCUAACUACGUGCCAGCAGCCGCGGUAAUACGUAGGUGGCAAGCGUUGUCCGGAAAUAUUGGGCGUAAAGCGCGCGCAGGCGGUCCUUUAAGUCUGAUGUGAAAGCCCACGGCUCAACCGUGGAGGGUCAUUGGAAACUGGGGGACUUGAGUGCAGAAGAGGAAAGCGGAAUUCCACGUGUAGCGGUGAAAUGCGUAGAGAUGUGGAGGAACACCAGUGGCGAAGGCGGCUUUCUGGUCUGUAACUGACGCUGAGGCGCGAAAGCGUGGGGAGCAAACAGG
RNAcentral lists this ribosomal RNA (428 nucleotides) under uncultured bacterium. RNAcentral's name for it is "bacterial SSU rRNA". It matches the Rfam family "Bacterial small subunit ribosomal RNA", at positions 355 to 776 of the family's 1533-position model. The record is from RNAcentral.